AAAAAAAAAAAAAGGGAAAAAAAAGCUCUCCCUCUCCUCUUUCUCGCUGGAGGUUUGUUUUUCUUUCAUUUUUUCGUUGUCGUUGUUGUUGGGUUUAACAUCCUCGGAGAAACUAGAGAAAGAGAAAAUCCAAAUCCAAAUUCAGAGAACAGAUGGAUUUGGAUCAGUGGAUAGCCAAGGUGAAGGAAGGGCAGCAUCUGUUGGAGGACGAGCUUCAACUUCUAUGCGAAUACGUAAA
This 238-nucleotide unclassified non-coding RNA is filed under the name Hevea brasiliensis (rubber tree). The record is from RNAcentral. Lineage: Eukaryota; Viridiplantae; Streptophyta; Magnoliopsida; Malpighiales; Euphorbiaceae.